UAGUAAUUCAUUCUCCAUUUUAACUGAUAGCUUUGCACUCCUUUUAUCUUAUAAUAAAAAACCCGAAAAAAAAGAUAAAUUUAAGUUUAGUGAAAAGUUAACGUAAACUGCACUUCGACUGUCAAAUUAAAUUCCAAAAUUGAAUAUCUAAUUUGAGGAUUCAAUCCGAGAUUCUUUUUGCAUCGCAAUUCUGGGAGAAAUGGACAGUUGCUGCUAUUUUUUUGACGAUUACAAUAGCUUUUUACGUAAUAUGGGAGCUGACAUUAUGACAGGUGAUUGUGAACCAUACCAGCUUCCGUACAGCAAUGUUUACUAUCCAGCAGGCCCCUAUGGUCCUAGACUUAUGUUGUCUCCCUAUGUGCCAGUGAGUUACUUUUCGCCACAAAGGACUUGGAGGUGAUAAUUUUCAGUACGUUAAGGUUAAACUGCUUUGCUCAAGGUUAAGUCGUUUUACUUUAAGAUUGUAUUUUACGGAGUUAUUCGACUCUUAUGUAUAGGACUUAAUCAUGAAUAAAAACGGGGUCUUAGAUACUA
This is a long non-coding RNA of Hermetia illucens (black soldier fly), 534 nucleotides long. RefSeq lists it as uncharacterized. NCBI's taxonomy places the organism in Eukaryota, Metazoa, Arthropoda, Insecta, Diptera, Stratiomyidae. The transcript has 2 exons. The record is from RefSeq and is a predicted model, not a curated record.